CUAUUUCCAAGGAGAGUGCCGAUUAUCUCUUUCUCGCAGCUUUUCUGUAUUUCCUCUUCAGAAGCAAAAGCCUAGCCUCCAUCCUCCAUCCUCUAGUAGCCGUCUCACCUGAAUUUGAGAUUUGGAAGCAGAAAACGAGAAGGCUAAGAGGAUGGUGAAGGACGUGGCUACCUACUUCUCUAUGACUUUGGGGGCUUUUGUGUUCUGGCAAUCUUUGGAUGAAGUCCACGUCCGGAUCGCUCUGCAUCAGGACGAAAAGAUGAAGAUUUGGACACGUUGGGGUUCGAGAAGGUCACCGAGGAGUUCAUCGGAGAGUGCAAGUUGGAAGCUUUGCUUCUCUGCCAUAAAAAGACAGGUGCCUAAGUCGCUUCCAUGUCCAACGACGACGAAAAUAAGGUUUUUGGCAUCGUUUUCUGAACCCCACUUGAGAUAUGAGGAAUGAUGAAGGAGCUACUUAAGUAGUGAGAUACAUGAAGGAGCUAUAUGAAGGAGUGAUGAAAAAGCUAUAUGAAGGAGUGAUGAAGGAGCUACAUACACUGUAUGUACAAAAGGGAAGAUGCUUUUACCUGCACGUCUUCAAAAGAAUUCAAGUUUGCAUUUUCGAAGUAUGGGGACUAGUGUUGAUAUGUUCAAACACAUAUCUUAGGUUUGCAAUGAAUGUAUUGGCUUUACCACAUUGAUCAUAUAUACGUUUUUAUUAA
Molecule: long non-coding RNA, 701 nt
Organism: Malus domestica (apple)
Lineage: Eukaryota; Viridiplantae; Streptophyta; Magnoliopsida; Rosales; Rosaceae
Source: RefSeq, a predicted model, not a curated record